GACGCGCUGGACAUUGCCAUCAACUACCGCGAGUACUCGUCCUGGGAGGAAAUGCCGGGAGCGGGCGUCUGCGGCAUCGCCUUGCGCAAGCCGUGAUGAAAAGCGUGCCAUCGGCGCGCCUGGCGACGAACCAAGAGCAAGCGUUCCGCUCGUCUCGCUCCUGCUGUCAAAGGCGAAAUCGGCGGCCUUUCUAAGCGCCUGUGGAAGCAAUCGGAGGCCGGAUUCGAGUCUGAAAAAGUGGCGCGCCCGGAGGGAUCGAACUCCCCCGAUCCUCGGUCCCGAAAGACCGGUCUGGGCCACGGCAACGAGUCGCAACGAGCGGAUGUGAGACACAAUUUGGGUCAGCAAACAGGUGCUCUGAGACUCGUGACGGCAACGCGCGAGGCGUCCGCUUGUAGCCCGCACAUUCGGACCGCGGCCUCGCAGUUUCAAUCCUCACCCGAUUGAGAGA
This 451-nucleotide unclassified non-coding RNA is filed under the name plant metagenome. RNAcentral's name for it is "partial contains 5.8S ribosomal RNA, internal transcribed spacer 2, and large subunit ribosomal RNA". The record is from RNAcentral.